RNAcentral lists this ribosomal RNA (971 nucleotides) under Acanthocorticium brueggemannii. RNAcentral's name for it is "eukaryotic LSU rRNA". The stretch from base 593 to 971 matches the Rfam family "Eukaryotic large subunit ribosomal RNA", at positions 1 to 373 of the family's 3401-position model. The record is from RNAcentral. Lineage: Eukaryota; Fungi; Basidiomycota; Agaricomycetes; Agaricales.
CCUGCGGAAGGAUCAUUAACGAAGUAUAAGGAGGGUUGUAGCUGCCUUGAAAGAGGAUGUGCACACCUUUCAAUCUUCCAUAACCACCUGUGCACCCUUACAUGGGAUUGUGGUGUAACGAAUGGCUUGCUGUUUGUUGCUUUGCAAUCCUAUGUCUUUUAUACACUCUAUAAAUUUUGAAUGGUUGUCUAACGGAUUGUAAUGAUCUGUUAUAAAUUAAAUACAACUUUCAGCAACGGAUCUCUUGGCUCUCGCAUCGAUGAAGAACGCAGCGAAAUGCGAUAAGUAAUGUGAAUUGCAGAAUUCAGUGAAUCAUCGAAUCUUUGAACGCACCUUGCACCCUUUGGUAUUCCGAGGGGUAUGCCUGUUUGAGUGUCAUUAAAUUCUCAAACUCAAUGUGGUUUUUAACUGUGUUGAGGCUUGGAUUUGGAGGUUGCAGGCUUUAACAAGUCGGCUCUUCUUAAAUGCAUUAGUGGCUUGUCGAUCCCCAUUUUUUGGUGUGAUAGUAAUAUCUACAUCAUGAUGAAUGGCUAGGUCAUGCGAUGACAAUAUGGCUGCUUUCUAACCGUCCUAUGGGACAACUUGAACCAUUUGGCCUCAAAUCAGGUAGGACUACCCGCUGAACUUAAGCAUAUCAAUAAGCGGAGGAAAAGAAACUAACAAGGAUUCCCCUAGUAACUGCGAGUGAAGCGGGAAAAGCUCAAAUUUAAAAUCUGGUAGCCUUUGGUUAUCCGAGUUGUAAUUUAAAGAAGUGUUACCCGCGCUGGACCGUGUAUAAGUCUUCUGGAAUGGAGCAUCAUUGAGGGUGAGAAUCCCGUCUUUGACACGGACUACCAGGGCAUUGUGGUGCGCUCUCAACGAGUCGAGUUGUUUGGGAAUGCAGCUCAAAAUGGGUGGUAAAUUCCAUCUAAAGCUAAAUAUUGGCGAGAGACCGAUAGCGAACAAGUACCGUGAGGGAAAGAUGAAAAGAA